This is a long non-coding RNA of Bradysia coprophila, 2162 nucleotides long. RefSeq lists it as uncharacterized. NCBI's taxonomy places the organism in Eukaryota, Metazoa, Arthropoda, Insecta, Diptera, Sciaridae. The record is from RefSeq and is a predicted model, not a curated record.
UAUGCUUCUACUUUGAGAAUGAAACUCGUUACUUAGGGCAUGUUGCCCGUUCAGUAGUUGUGUUUAUUCUGAAUCUUUUUCAUAUAAAUUCGCCGUAUUUAUAGGCCUUUUCGAUGUCUACUUGAUCUUAUUCAAUUGAAAAGGACACUUUGAUUUGUGAUUUUAGUAAAGUGAAAACACUUGCCAGUGACUGCUAAUAAUAUUUUCGACAAAGAUAUCUAUAUAAAAGAAGGUGAAGGUUUCACCUACAAGAAGCAGGAUAUUGCGCAUUUAGUAGACUAAUUCAGUAAUCUAAUAUUGCCUUACUCCAGAAUCCUAAUCUGCGGUGUUACGAAGGGCGUAACACAUCUAAUAGCUCACUGUACAUUGUACGAGUCUAAAAAUCGUGUUUAACUCGUUUAAACGUGAUUUAUCAGCGAACUGAACAAUGCAGAUUGAUUUUCACGAUUAACGAUUAGGAGGAACUACGUCACCGAAACAGUUUAAACUGAUAAGUGUUUAAUCCUGACCGCAAAUUAUUUACUGAUUUAAAAUCUAAAAAGGUGUCAUAUAAAUCAAUCUGUUACGCAGAUGCAUAUCUUUUGUUUGUCGCUUGACUUAGCAGCGAUAAGCAUAACAUCAUAAAAAUAGCAUUUUUUUCGGUCUCGUUUUUUGGGUGAAAUCGUGAAAAAUUUUAUCGUCUCGUGAAGAAAAAAAAUUGUCCACAAGAGACUUAGUCUAUUUUUGAAGUACAACUGAUAACUUCAAGGUGAAGAAGUGCGUUUAAUCUGUUUAAUUUGUCGUUUUUUUUUUGUAUUCGUUAAAAUAGUAGUUAUGGCAUUUGAAACAGUAAAACAAAUUGAAUUUCAGCAAGUGGUUUGUAGAAAACUGUAAAUAUAAAGAGUUAGAUUGGAGGUAAGGUGAGUCAAUUUAUUGUGUGCAACUUGACCAAUUUAUUUACAUUACCAUAGUGAUUAAGUAACUAAGCCAAAUGCACGACAUUGAUAUAAAUUAUAAAUAUGAUGAUUUGCUGCUCUUUUAUGUUUGGAAGGAAAGUGAACUUUAAUUGAAAGUAGGACACAGCCUCGGACAUUGUUCAAGUGGAAGAGGCUGACAAAAUGUAUCGCUGCUCAUGUUAAUAGUAGAUUACGUACUGACUUGGAGAUUUUUAAUUUGACGAGGCGUUUGCAGCCCGAGUCGAAGGCGAUUACCAUUACGUGGUAGUAUAGUUUACUCACGAAGACCCCCGAAAACGAGUUUUAACGUAUCGAUGGAAAACAAGAAUCCGGGGGUACAGCCAGUAAAAUAGUAAGACGACAAAUCGGAAACGGUGAGAGUGUGAAAGAAUUGUCAUCUAUAAAAGAACGGCUACAAAGCUUAAGGGUAAAGUUUUCAUCUUAAUUUUCUUCGUCUGAGGCUAAUAUUCCUAAUUUAUCUGACAUCUAAAAAUCAAUAAAAGUUCAGGUAAAUCUGGUUUCAGAAAAUCCCAGAUUACCUGAAAUUUGAUCUGAUUUAUCGGAACCUUUACUGAUUUUCAGAUUUCAGUUAAAUUCAGGUCAGGUAACAAUUUUGAAUCCAGGUUCAGUUCCAAUCAGAUCCAGAUAAUCUGAACAUCAGGUUUCAGGUCAACCUGACCUGUUCCGAUCUUUAUCCGAGGCCGUUUUUAUCCUGAGCAUUUGUGAAGGAUUUUGUAUGCUGAAGGCGUCGAAAGAAGUACUUUUAAAUCAUGAAAACCACGAUUUUCGACGAAUAUAAAUUUUGUAAGACAUGGACGAUCAUGAACCCAACCGUUUGAAUUGAAUUUACUUCCAAUGAAUGUAUUAUGCUCUAAUCAGUAGCGCCAAGUAGUCAUUUGCCUCUCACGGGAAAGUUUGAAGGGGAAUAAAAUUGCAACAUUUAUUUAAGGAGUAGCGAUCAAAACAGAUCGUUGCACUCAGGAUGGUCCAGUGAAUCUUUUAUGGAAGAAAAGAUUUUUUUUUAAAUUCGUUUACCUUUAAUUCGUUUGGCACGGGAUUUGUUGAAUAGGAGUAACAACAGAGUACCGAAAUUUUCUGAACUCAAAAAUUUUCUUAAAAAAUCGUCUUGGGCAAAGCAUAAUACAUUAAAAAGAAAUAUUUUUUUGGUCUUAAAAUUUUCUUGGAACCAAGCUGAGUUGGAUCAGCUGGGUCCACAAGCACGACCUG